CGCAGAGCCGGCCAUGGGCAAGUCAGCUUCCAAAGAGUUUAAUAAUGAAGUCCUAAAGGCCCACAAUGAGUACCGGCGGCAGCAUGGAGUCCCCCCACUGAAGCUCUCCAAGAAGCUCAACCGAGAGGCUCAGCAGUAUUCAGAGGCCCUGGCCAGCACAAGGAUCCUCAAACACAGCCCAGAGUCGAGUCGUGGCCAGUGUGGGGAGAAUCUAGCAUGGACAUCCUAUGAUCAGACAGGACAGGAGGUGGCUGAUAGAUGGUAUGGUGAAAUCAAGAACUACAACUUCCAGCAGCCUGGCUUUACCUCUGGGGCUGGACACUUCACUGCCAUGGUGUGGAAGAACACCAAGACUAUGGGAGUGGGGAAGGCAUCUGCAAGUGAUGGGUCCUCCUUCGUGGUGGCCAGAUACUUCCCAGCAAGGAACAUUGUCAACCAGGGCUACUUUGAAGAAAAUGUCCUGCCUCCAAAGAAGUAAUUUGUCCAAUGGAAUGGGAAAGUGGGAGACAUAGGAAUGCAGCUAUUAAGUGCCUAGAACAAUGAAAAAAAAACACAAAACAAGCCAGCUGCGAGUCUGUC
Dipodomys ordii (Ord's kangaroo rat) is the source of this 579-nucleotide RNA transcript. It is a transcript of the gene named Golgi-associated plant pathogenesis-related protein 1 pseudogene, with no coding region annotated. The transcript has a single exon. The record is from RefSeq and is a predicted model, not a curated record. Lineage: Eukaryota; Metazoa; Chordata; Mammalia; Rodentia; Heteromyidae.